Molecule: ribosomal RNA, 485 nt
Filed under: uncultured bacterium
Lineage: Bacteria
Description: partial 16S ribosomal RNA
Rfam family: Bacterial small subunit ribosomal RNA
Source: RNAcentral
UUGAACGCUGGCGGCAUGCCUUACACAUGCCAGUCGAACGGCAGCACGGGUGCUUGCACCUGGUGGCGAGUGGCGAACGGGGGAGUAAUACUUCGGAACAUGUCCUGUAGUGGGGGAUAGCCCGGCGAAAGCCGGAUUAAUACCGCAUACGAUCUACGGAUGAAAGCGGGGGACCUUCGGGCCUCGCGCUAUAUGGUUGGCCGAUGGCUGAUUAGCUAGUUGGUGGGGUAAAGGCCUACCAAGGCGACGAUCAGUAGCUGGUCUGAGAGGACGACCAGCCACACUGGGACUGAGACACGGCCCAGACUCCUACGGGAGGCAGCAGUGGGGAAUUUUGGACAAUGGGCGAAAGCCUGAUCCAGCAAUGCCGCGUGUGUGAAGAAGGCCUUCGGGUUGUAAAGCACUUUUGUCCGGAAAGAAAUCCUUGGCCCUAAUACGGUCGGGGGAUGACGGUACCGGAAGAAUAAGCACCGGCUAACUACGUG